RNAcentral lists this ribosomal RNA (253 nucleotides) under uncultured bacterium. Its description in RNAcentral is "partial 16S ribosomal RNA". It matches the Rfam family "Bacterial small subunit ribosomal RNA", at positions 524 to 776 of the family's 1533-position model. The record is from RNAcentral.
UACGUAGGCAGCAAGCGUUGUUCGGAGUUACUGGGCGUAAAGGGUGUGUAGGCGGUUGCUUAAGUUUGGUGUGAAAUCUCCCGGCUUAACUGGGAGGGUGCGCCGAAUACUGAGUAACUAGAGUGCGGGAGAGGAAAGUGGAAUUCCUGGUGUAGCGGUGAAAUGCGUAGAUAUCAGGAGGAACACCGGUGGUGUAGACGGCUUUCUGGACCGUAACUGACGCUGAGACACGAAAGCGUGGGUAGCAAACAGG